RNAcentral lists this small RNA (542 nucleotides) under Arabidopsis thaliana (thale cress). RNAcentral describes it as "ATSL262910". Lineage: Eukaryota; Viridiplantae; Streptophyta; Magnoliopsida; Brassicales; Brassicaceae. The record is from RNAcentral.
UUUUGUCAUGCACACAGGUAAUAGAUGCUCUCAUUAGUUUAGUCGUCAUUUGUUGCGGACUGAUGAUGUGGACGGCGAGAUACUUCGUCUCGAAGUCCUUGAUUCGAAAGUUUGUUUCAUUGUUCUGUCUCCAAUUCCCAAAGUUUUCCCGAUGCAACUCAAAAACGGAGUUCGAAUUCUCUUUACCUCUAAUUGAUAUUCUUUCCGGCGUUGGGGAAUCUGACCGUGUGCUGUUAUUCACGGAGGCUGAUUACAUAUAUCUGCCUUUUAACUUUGACAAAAAGCAUUAGGUAGCUUUAGCUGUUGAUCUAAAAUGCCGGAAAAUCAUUGCAUUGUCUUCGAUUCGAAUAUCCAAUGCCGCAAGGAUUCUGCUUUUCAGGAUGAGCUUAUGCCUCUCGCAGCAAAGCUGCCAUACCUUUUCAAACAAGCAGCCUUCAAUCCUCUUAUGAGUCAAUUUCUUCUGGAUCCAUUUUCUAUACAGCGCCCUUCUGUCAUUCUACUGGUAACUUCACCUCUUGACACAUGCAUAUAAUCUAGACUUU